AAUUGCAACCAUACCAAUAUUAAUACAUUAGAUCUCAUCAGAACUCUACAGGUAAGCAUGCUUGGAUGAAAGUAGUAUUAGAAUGAGUGACAUCAUGAGAAGUCUUCGUGUUGCACAUC
Molecule: ribosomal RNA, 119 nt
Organism: Lupinus angustifolius (narrow-leaved blue lupine)
Lineage: Eukaryota; Viridiplantae; Streptophyta; Magnoliopsida; Fabales; Fabaceae
Source: Rfam